Molecule: ribosomal RNA, 510 nt
Filed under: Triticum aestivum (bread wheat)
Lineage: Eukaryota; Viridiplantae; Streptophyta; Magnoliopsida; Poales; Poaceae
Description: partial small subunit ribosomal RNA
Source: RNAcentral
AUGGCUUUGUGGCGAAACAUGGUUGAGAUCCAUCUUUCUCAUUGUAAAAAACUGCAACGAUUAUUCAGUUGUGAUAGACCCUUCACUUUUCCAAAUCUGAAGGAGUUUACACUAAAAUCUCUGGAAUGUCUGGAGAGCUGGUGGGACAUAAAUAACGAGGAACAAGGAGAAGAGAUGACAUUUCCUCAGCUUGAGAAGUUAUCUAUUGCUGGCUGUGGAAAGCUGACAGCAUUACCAGAAGCAACACUGCUUGGAGAAUCUUAUGGUACAAUGGCACGGUCAGCAUUUCCAUCAUUGAAAGUGCUCUACUUGGAUGACUUGGAAAGCUUUGGAAGAUGGGAGGCAAUCGAAGGAACUCAAAGAGGACACAUUGUAUUUCCUAGGCUUGAGGAACUUACAAUCCAGAACUGCCCUCUGCUGACCGCAUUACCGGAAGCACCGUUUGGUGGGGAUUAUGGUAUGGCACCCUCAGCAUUUCCUGCAUUGAAGGUUCUCAUAUUGAGAGAUUAA